RNAcentral lists this ribosomal RNA (805 nucleotides) under Rhodococcus sp. (in: high G+C Gram-positive bacteria). RNAcentral's name for it is "bacterial SSU rRNA". It matches the Rfam family "Bacterial small subunit ribosomal RNA", at positions 563 to 1398 of the family's 1533-position model. The record is from RNAcentral. Lineage: Bacteria; Bacillati; Actinomycetota; Actinomycetes; Mycobacteriales; Nocardiaceae.
AAGCAGUGCGCUAGGUGGUUUGUCAACGUUCGGAUUGUGAAUCCCCCGGCUCAACUGCUGGCUUGCAUUCGAUACUGGCAGACUAUGAGUACUGUAGAGGAGACUGGAAUUCCUGGUGUAGCGGUGAAAUGCGCAGAUAUCAGGAGGAACACCGGUGGCGAAGGCGGGUCUCUGGACAGUAACUGACGCUGAGGAACGAAAGCGUGGGUAGCGAACAGGAUUAGAUACCCUGGUAGUCCACGCCGUAAACGGUGGGCGCUAGGUGUGGGUUCCUUCCACGGAAUCCUUGCCGUACUAAACGCAUUAAUCGCCCCCCCGGGGAGUUACGGCGCCAAGGUUAAACUUCAAAGGAAUGGACGGGGGCCCCAACAACCGGGGAACAAGGUGUUUAAUUCCAAUCCACCCCAAAAAACCUUACCUGGCUUUGACAUAUACCAAAUAUCUACAGAUAUAUGGCCGCCCUCGUGAUCGCUAUACAAGUUGUGCAUUGCUGGUCUUCACUUCUUUUUGGGAUUGUGGGUUAAAUUCCCAACCAGAGCAACCCUAUCUCAUGUUUCCCCACGUUAUGGGGGGAACCUAGAAACUGCCCGGGUCAACUCCGAGAAAGUGGGGAAAAGUCCAUCAUCAAGCGCCUUUAUGCAUGCUUCACACAUGCGAUACUGGCAGUACACAAGCUACGCAACCUGCAGUGGAACGAACCUUAAAGCUGGUUCGAUCGAAUCGGGUCUGCAAUCGACCCCUAAUCGGAUCCUAUAAUCCUGAUCACAUGCUCGUGAUCGUUCCGGCCUGUACACGCCGUCACGUC